This is a long non-coding RNA of Betta splendens (Siamese fighting fish), 7573 nucleotides long. RefSeq lists it as uncharacterized. The record is from RefSeq and is a predicted model, not a curated record. The transcript is spliced from 5 exons. NCBI's taxonomy places the organism in Eukaryota, Metazoa, Chordata, Actinopteri, Anabantiformes, Osphronemidae.
CGCGUCACGGCUCCUCCGCUGUACAAACGGUAGAUUUACGGCCUCAUAACAAACGUCGGCUUCACGUCACUACAUGGAAUAGCCGCUGCAAGAUAUCCACAGGCACCGUGCACGACCUUAUAGUCACUAUCGAUUGGGAAGACACCAGUAAAGACACCCAAGCUUGAACAAAACCCUAUUCUGAGAAACCUACAAUUUAUGCAAACUACAGAGAAAAAGCCAAGAAAACAAACAGAUGAUGCAUGAGUCUGAGCCAGUUUAGCAUUUUCAGGACCACGAACAGCUCCUCCUCGCCGCAAACGACGUAAAUGAACAUGGCUGACCUUCAAGCCAACAAGCGCUGCAGUGCGCAGGGCUGCCAACAGUGCGCAAAACCAGGAAUAAACCUCAGCGCAGGCUACAAGCCUGUGGGUCAGUUUUCCAUUUACAGUGAUGCUGAUGUAAUUUCUACACAUCACAUCUUCCUGUGCACACGCCCUGAACAACGUGCUUUCUUGUGGGAGUAAGCUGCAGUCAGUGGUCACCUCGCUGCUACUCUCCAAUGACAGUUGCAGACUUGUGCAACUCACCUUCUGUGAAUGAACACAAACAGGGCAGUGCAGCGCAGCCACAGGAGGCCUAUGGACUGCAUGGGCCAUCUGUCCCCAACAAUGCAGGCAACUUAACCUUAUUCACUGCUUCAAGUCAGCCUGCACUCAGACCGUUGUAGUGACAGGAUGCUGGAGCUGUCAGUCAGCGGUUCAAACAGCAGAGCUCAUCUCUCCCAUCUCUGCCUUUCUGUGCUGCCUCACAGACAUUGAUUACCCCAGACAAGACAGAAACACUUGCUGCUGUCUCUGUGCAGCACAAUGCCUCAGUCUCACAUCCGCUCUGUGCUUCUGCUCCUCUACAGCACUGGCUUCUUUCUCAACUGGAGAGCAGCGGUGAGACAGGCUCAUAACAGACUUAUCAUGUCCUUGCUUCAGUGUCCCACACUUGAAAGACAGACUUUUUGCUAUUCAGGAAAUUGUCAUACAGAUACAGAUAUUUAUAGAAAUAUUUAAAAACACACAAGAGAGGAUCUCAGUCUUAUUAAUUCAACCAUUACUGGUUGGUUUAAUUGAAUUAGCAUUUAGGAAUCUUUAGUUUUAAUCUGUUCUUGUUUUUUGACGUUACAAAGGCUAUAGGUUAAAUAUUAAUAACCUAAGAUUCAAUUAAAGACAAAUGUUAUGAAAUGAAAAUAUACUGAAGACUUGAACAUGGGCGAUCAAAAAGAGUCAUCAUUCCAGCUCUGGAGAGAAAGCCUGAUCCCUUGGGUUUCUCCCUGUGGCACCGGUCUGCUUCAGCAUUGGGAGGAUUAAUAUUCUCAGUAUGUAGGGAUGAGCAGUAGAGAGAUGACAUCACACAAACCCAACAGGAGAAUGACUUUUGAAGCUGAACAUCUAGCAGAACCCUGUUGAAGUGGGUAAAUGAUGUGAGUCAUUUGUUUGAAGAACAUGAAGCAUUACUCCUUAAUCACAUUAAGUCAUUAUAAAACAUAUCAAUGGACUGAAACAAAGCUGGAUACUUGAAACACCACUCAGAUCUACUGUUAAACUGACAUAUCGCUACUUCAUUACUGCCACAGAUGAUAUUCACUCCUAAACUUUGCUGUGAAUUUUAUACAGUAUUAAUACUUUGAGGAUAGAAAACAGUACUUUACAUUAUUUCAGUCUUUAGACCCCGGACAGACAGACCACUGGUUAAAUUUAUAUGGCUGAAUUUUUAAUGGCUGAAAAAAUUAAGAACGCUCAGAGGUCUUGCAUGUAUGUAGCUUUGUGAAAAGUUAAUAUAAAAACAUGUUUUGAAAAACAUUUUGAGACUCAAUUUUACUGUGUGUAAUGUACAGUAGGAGAGAGUAAGAGUUAGAACUUAGAUAAAAAUUUGAUAAUACAUUAGCAAAAAUUAAAAUCUAUACAGCCAUGUUUUCUAGCAAUUAAUUAAUUAUUUAACUUCUCAUGCAAAAGUAGUGUCAACUGUAUUGUCUGUAGUAGUAGAGUAGUGCAUUUAAUUUAAAAAUAAAAAUCUGUAAACGCACAUCUUGUACAAAAGGUGUAAAUAAACAGUAAUUAUUUGCUAAAUAUUGGCCAGUACCGGUACUGUACAAUGCUAAUGGUACAAAAUAACAACUUUUUGCUGUAUUUACUAAAACAAUGCUAAACUGUAAAUUUCAGCUAACCGCUGUUAGUCUCCAGGUAAAUAAUGGCAACUGUGCUGCCUGUACUUCUAGCAGGACAAAGUCUAGGAGUGUUUUUUUUUUAAACUGCCCGUGAGGAUCUAUGAAGAAAAUACAGCUUCUUCAUUACUGACCUCCGGCAAAGCUGGUGUAUUAUUUAUGACGUCAUCAUCAGUAGAGACGUUGCCCUCCGUUUUCAUCCUUGUUUGACUUUGGAAGCUCAUGUUCUCUGCAUCUUAAUUCGUGCUGGCUAGGCUCACUUUCUGGCCGUCCUUUCUUCUUCCUGUCUCCACUGACUCUUGUAGUUUGGUUUCACUUCACACUGUGACUACUCAGCAGAGUCCGCCGUGCUCCUCUCCAUCUUCACAGACCACUCUGCUCUCCUCUCCCUCGCUUCUUUUGACCUUCGCUCUAAUGAUUUUUUUCUACUACUUGGCCGACUGAAAACCUUGCCAAAUGAAUUCCAAAAGCCUUUUUUCAUGUUAAAAAGUUGUGCCGUUUGAAAUCUUUAAUUUCUGAAUUUUGAAACUGCCAAAAAAGGUCUCCAUCGCCAGAGCUUUGGACCCAAGUACAAAGACAAAGUUAGUUUUAAUGGCAAGAUCUUUACUCAUCACUUCCGCAUGCAGCGCUGUGGGGGCUAAGGGUCACGCACAUUCAGCUAUGAUUCAUACCACUGGCCUUCACACACUGAGACAUCCCAGAAUUUUACAUCAUAGAAAACAGCACAGUGAAUCAAAGAGCUUUGAUGUGUGCUUUAAAUGUGGCAGGAUUUUAUUUUCAGUCAAUGAAGAAGAAACUGAUGUAGGGUAAUGUGAUUUCUCUAACUCCUGCUUAAACAGAGGCUUUUUAAUGACUUACUCUGUCGCCCUAGUGGUGAGAUGUUCCAGUAACACCAGCCUAGAGGGAACAAUGGAUGUUAAUCCUUUUAGAAAUAUUUGCAACUGGACAAAUUCCAUUCUAUAUUUUUAUAUGUUUAGAAAAAAUCCUGGUCCUGGAGGCUUGCAUUAAUUUGUGUGAAGUAACUAUCAGAUUAGAGAAAGUAAGACUUUGGUUCUCAUGCACAACACCCUGUCUGAAUUUUGUAGACUUAUGCAUUUGCUUUGACUCAUGUAUCAUUGACCAUUCUGUGAUUAUUCUCCUUAUUGUUACACAGUUCAGACUUUUCAGGGGCUCCUCCUCCCAGUUAUGUUUGAAUGUUUUUCUUCCACUGCUAAUGCUAGCAGCGCCAAACCCUUCCUUUCUUCUGGCAACUCUACAUGUUGUACAAUUUGGAGCAAGGAUUGACCUUAGAAAUGUUUUUGCAUAUUCAGUGAGUUUUAUACAUUCCCAUUUACAGUGAUUUUAUAGGAAUAACUACUUGGAACAUGGCAAAAUGUGUCUUCUAUUUAAUUAUAUUACAGACAGCUAUUAAACAAAGAUGCUAAUGAAGAUACAUUACAGUAAAAGCUGCAAUCCAAGAAAUACUUCUAGAGUACCUCUUUAAGGGUCACACGCAUUGUCUACAUGUUUUAUUUUUUUCUUUUCUUCAUCCUGAAUUCUGUAGAAGCCCUUGAUUUCCUUGACAACACCAGAACAGCUCAGCCUACCAAGAAACAGGAUGCGUAUCCGUUCACAGUAAACCCACCACCACUACCUCUUACUCCGCUCUCUUGGUCCAAAUUCUAGUCAUCGCCUGUCUGCACUACUCUAACUCUCUGCUGGCUGGUCUCCCAGCAGACCUUCCUCUAGCCCGUAGCGUUCACACUGAGAGCAGCCGCUCGUCUGAUUUCCAUCAGCACUAAAGUCCUUCGUUUCAUCCCCCUCCUCACUGUCUGCUCUGGUUCCUCAUUUCAAAUUCAAACCCUCAACCCUCCUCUUCCUGUGUUCCCAGAGGCGCGAUGACCUCAGUCACCCCUGACAGGACUACAUGGUUGCUCCAUAUCUCAAAAGCUCUCUCCAGCCGGAACCUUUCACAUCCACAUUUCCCCUUAUCUUCCUUUUGUGUUUUCAUCUGAUGUCACUGCUUUCUCUUCAGAAACUAUUGACGCAUGACUAUUGUUUUUUUUUCCUCCAGUUUUUCUGUACCUUAAGUGUAGCUCUGCAUGGAUGUCGGUGUGUAAGUUGAUUCACUCUUUUCAAGCAUAACAAAUCUAGGAGCUUACACCUUCACCUCAAUGCAUUGAGGCUACAUAUUAGACUGGACUCUGAUGUUUAAUGUAAAUAAACUACUGUGAGAGCUCUCUAAUCUUAUUGCAGCAACCUUGAGAAAUAGUAAUAGAAACCCAGUGUACGUUUAAAAUUGGACCUUAUUUAAUUCCCUAUGUUGUUUUACAUUUCACUCUACAAGACAAACUAUUUAUGUUGAUAUCUACUGAUCUGUACGUUUAUACAGUAGAACCUUUGUCAAUAGAUCCAGAAAGAAGAAUUUGGUCAUCUGGAAGAACCUGUGACAGGAAACAUGGCUGCAGCUGCGGUUUUCAGCUGUCUGGCUUCAUAUUGGAUGUGAAAUCAAUUAUUGACUUGCCAAUAUAUUCAGCACACUAUAAGAAAAUGAUUACGCUGAAUCAGAUCAUAGCUGAAAGCACCACAAGAUGCUUUUAAGGAAUAACUGCUACAUUCAAAACAUUGCCAGACAUGGAGGCUGUACAAAGAAAAACGUAUAUAAUUAUUAUAGUUCUUGAUCUUUAAAUAAUCUGAUCCAUGAGUCUUGCAUGGCUAAUUUAAAAUGACUGACACUGCAUCUGUCAAACGUAAAUGUAUUUUUAGCCAAAUAGAAAGUAAACGUGCACAUUAGGAUGGAUUUAGGGCACUAGUUGCUAUACGGUGCUGCGCCCUGUCACACAAGACAAAAUGAUCAUACACCCAUGCAGCUUUAAUUACCACCAUCCAUCAGUUCAAUGUCAUGUGGAUUAGAUUUUGUUGUCAUAUUUAGGGCAAAAAUGAUUAAAUGCAAGUUGAUUUGUCCCCAACUUGCACUGUAUGGAAUUAUAUAGACCCAUAUCAAAGACAGAGAGGAGAGAAAAGAACAACAGGUGACAAAAGCCAACAACAACAGGCAACACAACCUUGGAAGCAGCUUUGAGUCCAACGACGCCUGUGGAGGGGUGAGAAGCACAACUGUGGAAAAAAAUAGCUGAAGGGUCUGCUUCGUAUUUCUAAUUCAGAAAGAUAUUGAACAAGGUCACACAAGGUCUUAAAUUAUGAUGGAGCUUUAGCAUGUACAUAGGAGAAGGAUUUUGAAUUUGAUUCUAAAUUUAGAGAGAGCCAUGGAAAAAAAGGCCAACGUACAGUAGGAGAAACACAAUCUCGAUGCUAAGUCCAGUCCAAACUCAGCCUGCAGCAUUCAGAAUUAACUAGUCAUUAGAAAGGAGUUACAAUAGUUCAGAAGAUGCUGCAUCAGCAUCACUGUGACAAAUGAUGCUUCUCAUACCUGGGAUUUCUCUAUACAGAGAGAAGAUAUCCUACGUUCACAAAUAAACUACAGUAUGAAAGCCCUCUCUGUCAGUCAACACGACCAAACAAAAAGCAGCUGUUUCCAGCAUGAGCAGUUCAGCACUGGGCUGAGAGCUGUAUCCGGGGCAGGCACCACAAUGGCUCCCAGUCCAACAAACUAAAUUUUCUGGGUCUAGAGUAGGUUCUUAGUUGAAGGCUGUGAUCUAUUAUGGAUAGUUGAUUUACACCAUUUGUACUGUAGGAAAUCUAUGGUUGUUUGUGGAAUUUUAUAAUUUUACUUUUUAACAAAAAUGUACAAAGACGUUGAGAUGUACAGUAGGCAGAUACUAAGCUCAACGGAAGCGUGUCUGUUUGUCAGCUUGGCUCUGUAAAGGAAAAAAUUGUGCCUUUGUGCUUUUUCUUAUCCAACACAGUUGUCAUGUGCUGGUUAGGUGCAAUACUGAACAUUCCUACACAAACAACUAAUCUCUUGCGCCCUGUCGUACAUCAAGUCUAAACAUCUGAUGUUCCAUUUGACUGACUAAUAAUUUAUGAUAUAUGUUUGUCUUUUACACCCGGUCUCUGGCUCCAUCCCAUCUGACUCCCCACCAGACCCAAGGCUGUAAAACCCAAUGCAUCUUGUGUUUGAAGCUUGGUGUUUCCUUGCUUUCUGAUAACAAGACACAAGACAUAAGGUGGCGCAAACUAUUCUAUUGGUGCAGAGAGACAUUCCACCAGAGCCAGAAAAAGGGGUUAAAAGGCAGAGACAACUUGAGGGUUUUGGCCUCUUUGCAUCACACCUUCGUGGUGUGUGCACUGAUCUCCCCAGCUGGUUUUUGGUUUGUUCAUGCGCACGAUCAACAUCCAUGUUAUUGAUUUGCUUUCCCCAUUAUUUUUAUUUGCCUGUAUUUUUAUAAUAAAUCACACAAAAGAUAACUCUUUCAUCUGCUUGUUUAUGUAAAAUUUCCACCACAGCUACAGUUCUGAAAAGAACCCGGGGUUGUUUUUAUUUUCCUCAAUGAAUGAUGAAUAAUCUGUGAAUCUAGCAACCCAAAGCGCUUUUUUAUGUAUUAUUUAACCGUCUUCCAUCCUAGGCUCACUUGGUUAAAGACCACUCCCCCUGUUGCCCAUUAGAAUGGCUUUGCCUGGGUGGCAGACAACGAAACAAACCCUGGAAAAUAUCUGACUGCUGGAGACUCUAAUUCCACGUUCAUGACCUUAUCAAAGUGUGGUUGGCAGUGAUCUUUGGGUGAAUGCCUAGACACCAAGCCAUCACCCACCAGAACCUGCUAGAGUACAGCUAAUGGGCUAAUCUGGGUUAUCUCUCAAGGAGGCAGAGGAGAAACAUUACAAGCAAGGGAAAGACAACACAAGGACAUUAGCAGCAUGUUACAAGCCUAUGCUAUGACCCUUUAUUUAGUCGCUACCAGACAACAAAUGAUAUUAGAAAUGGAAGUAGAAAAGUACACAACUUAGCAGCAGCUCAUUAGCAGGAAUGGGAACCGUUAAAUUUAAUGUAGGAGCAGAAGUAGCAGCCAGACUAGAUUUUCAUGUACAGUUGUUUUUGGCAAGAGCAAGGUUCCACACCAUCAAAUAUCAUGUUAAACGCUUUGAUUCGUGUGUCAGGAAGUUACAUUGACACCGUAGCCUACCAAUGUGUCUCAUUUGCUUCGCAGCUCCUAUUAGAGUGCGGCGCACUUUAACGCAUCAAACACAGUAACACUGCAUUUCAUGUUCCCACUUAUUUACUGUGCCAACAGUUCAAAUGAACCACUCGAGCUGCUCCACGACUCGCUUUGGCGCUGCUGUGCGUGGGUUGAAUGCGCCUCCGUGGAGCUAAACCGGCGUUGGCAAGUUCUUCAUGCAGAUGGCUCCUCCAUCUUCCCACUGUUCAUUGUGUUACCGAACGCUCUAAAAGCUUUUCCAUCCCUUUGCCCUCAGCCCGAGGAUGAGUCACUGAAUGAAGAA